RNAcentral lists this long non-coding RNA (419 nucleotides) under Rattus norvegicus (Norway rat). RNAcentral's name for it is "long non-coding RNA NONRATT027352". Lineage: Eukaryota; Metazoa; Chordata; Mammalia; Rodentia; Muridae. The record is from RNAcentral.
AGGUAGUGAGGUCAGUGACUGGCUGGGAUGCCACAGGUUGUCCAGGUCCCCCUCAGUCCUCACUCACUAAAAGUUCUCUCUGCUACUCUGACCCCUCCCACCCCAAUUCAUCUCUCCUGUCCUCCAGUGUCUGUGGACAAUCUCCCUCAUGCCACAGAGGGGGGGGGGCCGCUUCUGCACAGGUCUUCAUCCCUGUGUUCAAGCUCCUGCUGUUCCCUCCUCUCCCUGGAUCUGCCCACCACAGUGUGGAGAGGAAAAGAACGGGGAAGGGGGGUUAGACAAGGUUGGACAACAACAUGGGAGCAGCUUUGGUCCGGUAACUGUCCUAGAACUCCUCUGGACUGGAGGUGAGACCCACCAGGACACUUGGACACACUUGUGGAUGAUGUCAUGUGCAGAUUACAUCAGUAGAAGGCAAA